This 256-nucleotide ribosomal RNA is filed under the name uncultured bacterium. RNAcentral describes it as "partial 16S ribosomal RNA". It matches the Rfam family "Bacterial small subunit ribosomal RNA", at positions 524 to 776 of the family's 1533-position model. The record is from RNAcentral.
UACGUAGGGUGCAAGCGUUGUCCGGAAUUAUUGGGCGUAAAGAGCUCGUAGGCGGUCUGUCGCGUCUGCUGUGAAAACUCAGGGCUUAACCCUGAGCUUGCAGUGGGUACGGGCAGACUAGAGUGCGGUAGGGGAGACUGGAAUUCCUGGUGUAGCGGUGAAAUGCGCAGAUAUCAGGAGGAACACCGGUGGCGAAGGCGGGGUCUCUGGGCCGUAACUGACGCUGGAGGAGCGGAAAGCAUGGGGAGCGAACAGG